Ameiurus melas (black bullhead) is the source of this 75-nucleotide non-coding RNA. The record is from the annotation of a GenBank genome assembly. NCBI's taxonomy places the organism in Eukaryota, Metazoa, Chordata, Actinopteri, Siluriformes, Ictaluridae.
GGGGGAGUAGUCCUUAGUGGUUAGCACAUUUGAUUCACACCUCAAGAGUUGGGGGUUUGAAUCCAAUCUCCGCCC